UAUGACUUUAAAUUCUUCUCUGCACGGAAACCUGUUGACACCUCCUUUUCAAGCUCUUUGUGUGGUCCCAUCUGUUUACAAUUCACUAAUACUUCGGCUCAGGAAUUUCGGGGUUAACUGAAAAUCAGAUUUUCAGCAGAGGCAGAUCUCAGGGAAGCACGGAAUCUGGUGAGAUGACAAUUGUAGUUCUCUGGGGAAGUAAACUCAUAGGAUCACAAGCCCCUAUCCCAGCGUCUAUGCGCUCAAUGGCUGUUGUGAACAUAAACCUGAGCCCAUUGUCCCAGCAGCAGAAAGAAAUCAGGUGAGUAGUUUAUAUUUCAAUCUGUAAGCAGAGUCUAUUGUCUGUGGAUCAAUAGACAGAAUACGUGCUCUUUUCUUGAAAAAAAAAAUUUCUGGGUCACAAACUGACCAGGA
This 414-nucleotide long non-coding RNA is filed under the name Homo sapiens (human). RNAcentral's name for it is "HSALNT0162137". Lineage: Eukaryota; Metazoa; Chordata; Mammalia; Primates; Hominidae. The record is from RNAcentral.